CUGAAUGGGGCAACCCACUAUAUUGAAGAUAUAGUACCAUUAAUGGGGCAAACCCGGAGAACUGAAACAUCUAAGUACCCGGAGGAGAAGAAAACAAAAGUGAUUUCCUGAGUAGCGGCGAGCGAAACGGAACUAGCCCAAACCAGUGUUGUUACGGCAACAUUGGGGUUGUAGGACUAUGACAUGGAUUGUACAAAGAACUGGAACGUUUUGGAAAGAACGAUCAUAGAGGGUGAUAAUCCCGUACAGGUAAGUCUGUAUAAAUCCUAAUAGUAUCCUGAGUAGCGCGGGGCACGUGAAACCUUGCGUGAAUCAGCCGGGACCAUCCGGUAAGGCUAAAUACUCC
Molecule: ribosomal RNA, 346 nt
Filed under: uncultured bacterium
Lineage: Bacteria
Description: bacterial LSU rRNA
Rfam family: Bacterial large subunit ribosomal RNA
Source: RNAcentral